UAGUCCACGCCCUAAACGAUGCUAACUCGAUAUUUGGAUCUUGAAUCUGAGUGUCUAAGCGAAAGCGAUAAGUUAGCCACCUGGGGAGUACGUUCGCAAGAAUGAAACUCAAAGGAAUUGACGGGGGCCCGCACAAGCGGUGGAGCAUGUGGUUUAAUUCGAUGAUACGCGAGGAACCUUACCAGGGCUUAAAUGCAGAGCGACCGUUCUGGAAACAGAACUUUCUUCGGACGGUUUGCAAGGUGCUGCAUGGUUGUCGUCAGCUCGUGCCGUGAGGUGUCGGGUUAAGUCCCAUAACGAGCGCAACCCCUAUUCUUAGUUGCCAGCGAGUAGUGUCGGGGACUCUAAGAAAACUGCCAGUGUAAGCUGUGAGGAAGGUGGAGAUGACGUCAAAUCAUCACGGCCCUUACGUCCUGGGCUACACACGUGCUACAAUGGUCGGUACAGAGGGCAGCUACCUAGUGAUAGGAUGCAAAUCUCUAAAGCCGGCCCUAGUUCGAAUUG
RNAcentral lists this ribosomal RNA (504 nucleotides) under uncultured bacterium. RNAcentral's name for it is "bacterial SSU rRNA". It matches the Rfam family "Bacterial small subunit ribosomal RNA", at positions 791 to 1300 of the family's 1533-position model. The record is from RNAcentral.